This 495-nucleotide ribosomal RNA is filed under the name uncultured bacterium. RNAcentral describes it as "bacterial SSU rRNA". It matches the Rfam family "Bacterial small subunit ribosomal RNA", at positions 29 to 507 of the family's 1533-position model. The record is from RNAcentral.
AACGAACGCUGGCGGCGCGCCUAAUACAUGCAAGUCGAGCGAGAAGGUGUAGCAAUACACUUGUAAAGCGGCGAACGGGUGAGGAAUACAUGGGUAAUCUACCAUCGAGUGGGGAAUAACCAACCGAAAGGUUGGCUAAUACCGCGUACGCCUCCGAGUCUUCGGGUUCGGAGGGAAAGCUGCACUGUGAGUGUAGCGCUCUUUGAUGAGCUCAUGUCCUAUCAGCUUGUUGGUAGGGUAACGGCCUACCAAGGCUUUGACGGGUAGCUGGUCUGAGAGGACGAUCAGCCACACUGGCACUGCGACACGGGCCAGACUCCUACGGGAGGCAGCAGUAAGGAAUAUUGCGCAAUGGGCGAAAGCCUGACGCAGCGACGCCGCGUGGAGGAUGACGGUUUUCGGAUUGUAAACUCCUGUUAAGCGGGAAGAAAGCCUUGUUUCUAAUACAAGCAAGGUAUGACGGUACCGCUAGAGAAAGCAUCGGCUAACUUCGUG